Molecule: long non-coding RNA, 869 nt
Organism: Seriola dumerili (greater amberjack)
Lineage: Eukaryota; Metazoa; Chordata; Actinopteri; Carangiformes; Carangidae
Exons: 2
Source: RefSeq, a predicted model, not a curated record
UUCCAAACUGGUGGAACGUUAUUUCCAUUGUAGCUGGUGCCAAUAGGUUACGCUGAGAAGCGGCAAGAAAAGUGAAUGGCAAAAAAAAAAAGAAAAAAAGAAAUAAAAUAACAAAAUGACAGUUAUGAUUCAAACGAAGGGAAACAAAUUCAACAGGUUUUGCUUACACAUGCACAUUGAAAAAUAAUACUGUGGCUUUGAACAAUAGCAGAAAUCAACCUACAGUGAGACUCAAACCAUGAGCGACCAACAUCCUUGUGCUAAAUUAGGAAAGGAGGGAUGACAAAGGAGAGGGGCGGAGGGAGAGAAAGAGAAGGAGAGAGAGCAACUUUAAAACAAAGGACCGCCUGGGAGAUAAUGAGUGGUGUAAACCGGAUGAUUUAUUGGCGAGCGCAGUACGGUCACACUCUCAUACGUGGCCCCUUUUCUUUUCUUUUUUUUUUCCCCCCUCCUGUACUUUCCCUCUCCCUCUCUCUCUGUCUGCGUCUCUCCGUCUGGCCCAAUAGACUUAUUAAAACUCAGAAAAGAUUAAUCUUUGUGGAGCAAAAUGUUUUUGUUACAUUUCAUAAUGGAGUGGAAGGUGUAGGUAACUCAAAGGCAGUGGAAUAACACAGUCUUCAUAUGCAGAGUUAAGUGCUGUCUCCAACAGGGAAGGGGCCUUAUCAUUCAUAGUUUCAAUGACCUAUCCAUUUCAAAGCCGCUCGGUGACAAAGCUUCAGUCCUGAACAGUUUCUGAGCAACUAGAAUCCUGUUGAAUGGCGAUGUAAAAACUCUGAACCCCAGUUUUUUUUUUUUGUUUUUUUUUUUUUCCUCUUAACACAUGUGGUAACAAAGACUUUUUGACAAUACUGGACACUGCAAAAAAAAAA